This 973-nucleotide ribosomal RNA is filed under the name Psychrobacter sp. 27F07-MB1-9. Its description in RNAcentral is "bacterial SSU rRNA". It matches the Rfam family "Bacterial small subunit ribosomal RNA", at positions 477 to 1449 of the family's 1533-position model. Lineage: Bacteria; Pseudomonadati; Pseudomonadota; Gammaproteobacteria; Moraxellales; Moraxellaceae. The record is from RNAcentral.
AGCUGCAGAAUAAGCACCGGCUAACUCUGUGCCAGCAGCCGCGGUAAUACAGAGGGUGCAAGCGUUAAUCGGAAUUACUGGGCGUAAAGCGAGCGUAGGUGGCUUGAUAAGUCAGAUGUGAAAUCCCCGGGCUUAACCUGGGAACUGCAUCUGAAACUGUUAGGCUAGAGUAGGUGAGAGGGAAGUAGAAUUUCAGGUGUAGCGGUGAAAUGCGUAGAGAUCUGAAGGAAUACCGAUGGCGAAGGCAGCUUCCUGGCAUCAUACUGACACUGAGGCUCGAAAGCGUGGGUAGCAAACAGGAUUAGAUACCCUGGUAGUCCACGCCGUAAACGAUGUCUACUAGUCGUUGGGUCCCUUGAGGACUUAGUGACGCAGCUAACGCAAUAAGUAGACCGCCUGGGGAGUACGGCCGCAAGGUUAAAACUCAAAUGAAUUGACGGGGGCCCGCACAAGCGGUGGAGCAUGUGGUUUAAUUCGAUGCAACGCGAAGAACCUUACCUGGUCUUGACAUAUCUAGAAUCCUGCAGAGAUGCGGGAGUGCCUUCGGGAAUUAGAAUACAGGUGCUGCAUGGCUGUCGUCAGCUCGUGUCGUGAGAUGUUGGGUUAAGUCCCGCAACGAGCGCAACCCUUGUCCUUAGUUACCAGCGGGUUAAGCCGGGAACUCUAAGGAUACUGCCAGUGACAAACUGGAGGAAGGCGGGGACGACGUCAAGUCAUCAUGGCCCUUACGACCAGGGCUACACACGUGCUACAAUGGUAGGUACAGAGGGCAGCUACACAGCGAUGUGAUGCGAAUCUCAAAAAGCCUAUCGUAGUCCAGAUUGGAGUCUGCAACUCGACUCCAUGAAGUAGGAAUCGCUAGUAAUCGCGGAUCAGAAUGCCGCGGUGAAUACGUUCCCGGGCCUUGUACACACCGCCCGUCACACCAUGGGAGUUGAUUGCACCAGAAGUGGAUAGCUUAACCUUCGGGGAG